RNAcentral lists this transfer RNA (63 nucleotides) under Pandarus rhincodonicus. RNAcentral describes it as "tRNA-Pro". It matches the Rfam family "tRNA". Rfam says of the family: Transfer RNA (tRNA) molecules are approximately 80 nucleotides in length. Their secondary structure includes four short double-helical elements and three loops (D, anti-codon, and T loops). The record is from RNAcentral. Lineage: Eukaryota; Metazoa; Arthropoda; Copepoda; Siphonostomatoida; Pandaridae.
AUUAAGAUAGUUUAGAGAAAAUACUAACUUUGGAAGUUAGAGAUAACAUUUUGUUUCUUGAUA